This is a long non-coding RNA of Populus euphratica (Euphrates poplar), 208 nucleotides long. RefSeq lists it as uncharacterized. The record is from RefSeq and is a predicted model, not a curated record. NCBI's taxonomy places the organism in Eukaryota, Viridiplantae, Streptophyta, Magnoliopsida, Malpighiales, Salicaceae. The transcript is spliced from 3 exons.
AAAAGAUGAAUACCUUGGUUUUUAGGGUUUUUUUUGUUUAGCUGAUGGCCCCCCUAUUAAUUUUCCUCCACCACCGCAGCCUCUAAAUUUUUCUCCUCCCCUUUUUUUUUUCAGUGUAGCAUGGUAUUUAUAAGACAAGUAUUGCUAGGUUUUCAAAUUAGUCCCUCAACUUUUCUUUUUCUUUUUUGGUAAAUUUUGGUUUUUCUUA